CACGAAGCAAGCUGAGCUACCGCAAGGCUAUUAUUAGAUUAGUAAUAUGUUGCAUAAUAUACAGCUGACGUUGCGUUAGGGGUGAUAGGCUUAACAAAUCUUGCGAUAACUUGAUGUCCCCGAAAAGUAUUAAGUACAUAGAUAAUUGAAGAGUGCCAAGGUUCUUCAAAUGUAUAAAUAUUUAUUCAUUUUAAAAAUGAUCUAACGAUCUAUUUUUCUAUAGAGAAAAUAUAUUUUUAAUAGUAUUGUAGCAUUUAGGGGACGUUAUAAAAACUUUUUAAAAUAUUAAUAAUGUUACUAUAAGUAAUCGAAAGGUAUUAUUAAUGAACUCGGCAAUAAUGUCUCACAGCUGUUUAUCAAAAACAUCGCUACUAGUAUAUACUAGUAGUCCCUUCUGCUCAAUGAGUUUUAAAUAGCCGCAGUACCUUGACUGUGCAAAGGUAGCAUAAUCAAUUGGCUUAUAAUUGAAGUCUAGAAUGAAUGAAAAUAUGUGGGGUGACUGUAUCUAUAAUAUAUUUUGAAAUUAUUUAAUGAGUGCAAAUUCUCAUUUAUAAAUAAUAGACGAGAAGACCCUAGAAAUUUUUACAAUAAAGGUUCUUUUUGUUUUUGUUGGGGCAACAAAGUAACAGGUAAUUUACUUAAUAAACAAGAAAUUUGUUAGUAAGAUGAAAUUACUCUAGGGAUAACAGCGUAAUAUUAAAAUGUUUGCGACCUCGAUGUUGGAUUAGGAAGCGACGGCU
This 740-nucleotide ribosomal RNA is filed under the name Granulomelon sp. A FC-2015. RNAcentral describes it as "partial 16S ribosomal RNA". The stretch from base 304 to 548 matches the Rfam family "Archaeal large subunit ribosomal RNA", at positions 1785 to 2143 of the family's 2987-position model. Lineage: Eukaryota; Metazoa; Mollusca; Gastropoda; Stylommatophora; Camaenidae. The record is from RNAcentral.